AUCCUUUUAGCUUAAUGGCAAAGCUUAAUACUUCUAAUAUUAAGAUUCAGGUUCAAUUCCUGAAAAGGAUA
This is a non-coding RNA of Pneumocystis murina, 71 nucleotides long. NCBI's taxonomy places the organism in Eukaryota, Fungi, Ascomycota, Pneumocystomycetes, Pneumocystales, Pneumocystaceae. The record is from Rfam.